RNAcentral lists this ribosomal RNA (497 nucleotides) under uncultured bacterium. RNAcentral describes it as "partial 16S ribosomal RNA". It matches the Rfam family "Bacterial small subunit ribosomal RNA", at positions 28 to 507 of the family's 1533-position model. The record is from RNAcentral.
GAUGAACGCUGGCGGCGUGCCUAAUACAUGCAAGUCGAACGCUGAAGCUUGGUGCUUGCACCGAGCGGAUGAGUUGCGAACGGGUGAGUAACGCGUAGGUAACCUGCCUCUUAGCGGGGGAUAACUAUUGGAAACGAUAGCUAAUACCGCAUAAAAGUCGAUAUCGCAUGAUAUUGAUUUGAAAGGUGCAAAUGCAUCACUAAGAGAUGGACCUGCGUUGUAUUAGCUAGUUGGUGAGGUAACGGCUCACCAAGGCGACGAUACAUAGCCGACCUGAGAGGGUGAUAGGCCACACUGGGACUGAGACACGGCCCAGACUCCUACGGGAGGCAGCAGUAGGGAAUCUUCGGCAAUGGGGGCAACCCUGACCGAGCAACGCCGCGGGAGUGAAGAAGGUUGUCGGAUCGUAAAGCUCUGUUGUAAGAGAAGAACGAGUGUGAGAGUGGAAAGUUCACACUGUGACGGUAACUUACCAGAAAGGGACGGCUAACUACGUG